RNAcentral lists this ribosomal RNA (492 nucleotides) under uncultured bacterium. RNAcentral describes it as "partial 16S ribosomal RNA". It matches the Rfam family "Bacterial small subunit ribosomal RNA", at positions 29 to 507 of the family's 1533-position model. The record is from RNAcentral.
AGUGAACGCUGGCGGUAGGCCUAACACAUGCAAGUCGAGCGGCUGCACAGAAAGAGCUUGUUCUUACGGGUGGCGACUGGCGGGCGAUGGCGAAAUACAUGGGUAUCAACUUUUUAGAAGGGGAUGAAACAGGGAAAAUUACGCCAUUCCCGCAUACGACCUAAGGGUGAGAUCUUCGGAUCUUAGGCACUUGCGCGAUUCAAUGAGCCGAUGUCGGAUUAGCUAGUUGGCGGGGUAAAGGCCCACCAAGGCGACGAUCCGUAGCUGGUCUGAGAGGAUGAUCAGCCACACUGGAACUGAGACACGGUCCAGACUCCUACGGGAGGCAGCAGUGGGGAAUAUUGGACAAUGGGCGCAAGCCUGAUCCAGCCAUGCCGCGUGGGUGAAGAAGGCCUUCGGGUUGUAAAGCCCUUUUGGUGGGGAAGAAAAGCAGCAGGUUAAUACCCCGCUGUUCUGACGGUACCCAAAGAAUAAGCACCGGCUAACUUCGUG